GAGACAGAGAGAGACAGAGAGUGAGAGAGAGAGGCACACUGCUGCUAUCACACACACACAUACACAGACACACACACAGACUCGCGCGCGCCCAUGAGACUAUAUUUGGGAGUGAUUGCAGAGUGAAACAGUUGGUGACGGAGCUGCUGGAUGUUUCUGACACCGGUAACAACUAGCAGGACUUUCCAAUAUAAGCAUAACAAAAGAUGGAGGUGGAAAUGCCUUGAAGUCGUGUGGGGUUAUGGGAGUGGAACACCACUGCUGUCCCUGCAGUCAGCUCCUCCCAGUUAGGAUUCUCUCAGUGUUCAUCGUUCCUGCAAAGGUCUCCUCCUCUCCAAAAGAAACGGACCCGGUGAUUAAAACCGAUGAGAACAUUUAUAGCUCAGUGAAUGUUCCAACCAACAGAAUAAUCAGAAUAACCAGUCAGAGCAGUGGAAGUCAAGCGGUGACUCAGCAGCUUUCAGUCUCUGACAGCUUCAGGCAUCAACAUGUUUCACAUUUCACUGCAUCACAACUCGACAAAAACUCUCUGAUGAGACAAACAGCCUGAAACCCAGCAGGACACAUAUUCAGAGGAGUUUCUGCAGCUUUGAAGCUCAAGGUGGAGACUGGAGAGAAAGCUUUACAUUUGUAACUGCAGAUAAACCGUCCUUGGUGGUUUAAGAGACAUCUGCUGAAUCAAACAACAGCAAUGCUUUUCUUCCUUUUUUAUCAUAACAACCUAAUGUAACACUUCUCUUUUAACAAUAAGAAUAAAUAAACAAAAAUAUGAAAGUAAAUUGUGCAUCACAAUUAUUUAAACAGUGGUGACGGGGUUGGAUCAGAUCCCCGAAAGAAAUAUUAGCUUUUCAAAAAGCAUCAUCAUUUUUGGAACCUCUGUUUUUCACUGUAUAAAUGUUUUCUUAUAUAUUUCCACAAAAAAGCCGACUCUUCAAUUUAACUCCUUCGAGGACGUCCUAUCUCCAGAAUCCUGUCCAAUCAGCGAGCUAACGUUUGGCAGGCCGGCUGCGAAGUUAGUUGCCUCGCAAAUCAGUUACGAGCAUUACGCCAACAGUACAAUCCUACUUUUAGCUCAUUUAAAGUUUGGCUGGAAUCAGUGGACCAAGCAGGUUCAUUCAACAUACGUUCAUAUGACGCUAGCCUUCCUUUCCUAUGUUCUUCUUUCAGUCCAUCAUCGCAGUUAAGCUGAAUGGUUUCAGUCAGACUCCUGUGUGCAUUGACAGACUGUGAUUGACAAUCAGUGACAAGUUCGACUGAACUCAAUCGGUGGUCCAAAAAUGUGUCAUUCAUUUAUUACUGGUUUGCAUAGUGAAAUAGUGAAAUGAUCAUAAAUAUAAGCUGCUUAAAUAUAAUCACCUGAUUGCAGGGACUUUAUGAUGAUAGGUUUGUUUUUAUUUUUACAAAAAUAUAAUUUAAUGAGGGGGAUACAUUUACUUCUUUGCUCAGGCUCCUAUCAUGUCCACUGGGCUUUGGCAUUUUUAUUGUUUCUUGGCGGAGAGCGAUUUGAAAAAACAACGGUGAAUAAUCUUUCUGUUGUUUCAGGCUGAAUAUUCUGUGUAUUCCUUAAAAUGUAUUAAUAGUACAUUUUGUAUGUGCGUGCAUGUAUACAGUACCCUGUGUGUGUGUGUGUGCGUGUGUGUGUGUGCGUGUGCGUGUGUAUGUGUGUGCGUGCGUGUGUGUGUGUGCGUGCGUGUGUGUGUGUGCGUGUGUGUGUGUGUGUGCGUGUGUGUGUGCGUGUGUGUGUGUGUGUGUGUGUGUGUGUAAAUCUGAAUGUAAGCUGAAUGUCUAUACGUUCUCAGGACCUCAGUGUGUGUUGUCUGUGUAGAAAUGCAGUGACCGGUACUAACGACCUCCUCAAUGAUAUUAACGAGAUCAUUUAUGUUUCCAACACAAAGAGAGAAGAAGACAGACUCGCAGUGGAAAAGUCAACCAGUCUCUCUGCUGGUGUCAGUGGAGGAAUGUGACUAAGAACUGUUAGUACUGCACUAAAGUACACUUUUAGGUAUUUGUAUUUUACUUGACAAUUUCCAUUCUAUGUUACUUUAUACUUCUUCUCCACUACGUCUCAGAGGUAAAUCUUGUACUUUUCACUCCACUACAUUUGUCUGACAGCUUUAGUUACUUUACAGAUUACAGUUAUUCCUCCACUUCCUGUCCAGUGAAACCAUGUAUCUCCAGAUGUGUUGAUGUUUAAUGUUUGUGAUAAACUGAAGGAUGAAGUGUUUCUUUAUGUGUUGAGAACAUUCUCCUACUUCUUAAGAUAAUAAACUCUUUAAAAAUCCUCUUGUCACAAAGCUGAAAACUGUUUUUCUAAGGAACUCAUGAAAAGUUGAUAGAUACGUGUUUCUCACUGAACAGAGACAAAGAUACCAACAUGAUGAUCUUAUAGAAUAUGAUGCAUUGUGUACAUUAGACUACCAGACAGGAUAUGAAGGAGGUAAAAUGAGCAGAA
Molecule: long non-coding RNA, 2452 nt
Filed under: Cottoperca gobio
Lineage: Eukaryota; Metazoa; Chordata; Actinopteri; Perciformes; Bovichtidae
Description: lncRNA (ENSCGOG00000000474.1)
Source: RNAcentral